GGCUCAGGAUGAACGCUGGCGGCGUGCUUAAUACAUGCAAGUCGAACGAAGCACCUGCGACGGAUCCUUCGGGGUGAAGAUGCUUGUGACUGAGUGGCGGACGGGUGAGUAACGCGUGGGUAACCUGCCUUAUGCAGGGGGACAACAGUUAGAAAUGACUGCUAAUACCGCAUAAGCGCACGAGACCGCAUGGUCAAGUGUGAAAAGAUUUAUCGGCAUAAGAUGGACCCGCGUCUGAUUAGGUAGUUGGUGAGGUAACGGCCCACCAAGCCGACGAUCAGUAGCCGACUUGAGAGAGUGAUCGGCCACAUUGGGACUGAGACACGGCCCAGACUCCUACGGGAGGCAGCAGUAGGGAAUAUUGCACAAUGGGGGAAACCCUGAUGCAGCCGACGCCGCGUGAGUGAUUGAAGUAUUUCGGUACGUAAAGCUCUAUCAGCAGGGAAGAUAAUGACGGUACCUGACUAAGAAGCCCCGGCUAACUACGUGCCAGCAGCAGC
Molecule: ribosomal RNA, 500 nt
Filed under: uncultured bacterium
Lineage: Bacteria
Description: bacterial SSU rRNA
Rfam family: Bacterial small subunit ribosomal RNA
Source: RNAcentral